GAGAAGGAUAAUCCUGUUAGCAAACGAAUCACUGUGCCCAGAAACCACACAGGGAGAGUGUCUAGGGAUGUCACGCGUCUCUGCUACCAGGGAGGAACCUGCCGUGGCAGCAAGCUCAACAUUUAAGAACAGCAAGAGGGGACGUUAUCAGACAGCAGGAUGGUAGUCCAUUACACAUAAUCAGCCAAGGCCGUUGAAGAGAGUUUGCUGACGAGAAGAGUGCAGAGAGCAGGGCUUGACUGCAGAGUUCUGGCUCCAGUGCCAUCACAACAGCAAGAGAUGCCUUGCAACAGGUACCCCCGCCACACCUCCAGCACACACGCACUGUUGGGAGGGAAGAACUAGGCAGUUACACCAGCAAAUGGAUACACGAAUUGGAGGAAACAGGCACAGUGGGGUGCUUCAGACGUGUCCAUGCAUCAUGAGGUGAAAUACUUUUGCUGGCUUUGAAGUGGAGGGAAGGAUUAGAAUCAUAAUAAUUCCACGACACAGCUCAUGACCAGAAGCUGAGACAGAGAAAAGGAUCUCUGAAGAUGAACCUGGACCGGAAGACUCCACAUCUUGGCAUUACUUAGGAAUAAAACAUGACUUUGUUAGACAGCUUGAGCUAGACCAGAGUUGAUGCAUUUCCAUUUAAGCGUUAACACUGUAUUGCCCUUUCCAGAGCUCUUCAAUACCAAAUUAAGUAUUUUGUUCUGUAAAUAAAUGUAUUUAGGCAACACCUUUUCCUUCUUUAUUUGGGUUGUUGGAGGUAUAGAUUGUAAUUUGUGAAACAGGUUUGUGUUGUUUUUGUUAUUGUAAACAAAUGCAAUAUUAGUCAACAUAAUACAAUUGUUGGCUUUAAAUGUGUGUAGUGUCAAUGCAUCAAGUACAGUAUGCCUAUGACUUAAAUGUUGUAAUUUGAUUGAAAGAGGUAUGAAUUUAAAUAUUGUCUCCUUUUAAAGACCUCAUCAUGAAUCCACAUGGCGUAUAUGAUACUGCUCUACAUGUGAACAUUUAAUUGAUCAUUUUUAGAACUGGCGCAUAUGAUACUGGCGUAUAUGGCGUAUAUGAUACUGCUCUACAUGUGAACAUUUAAUUGAUUAUUUUUAGAACUGUUUAUACGUUUAAUUAAAGAUGCACUAUGCAGAAAUCGCUCCGCCAUUUCCUAGUUGCUAAAAUUUUAAUAGUUCGCCUAAUUUCAGAUUAUGUAACAAAACAAGCAAAAAUAGUGUAGAGAAUCAUUGUACCAUCUAAACCGCUGUGAAAUAUCUUUUCAAUAAUCAAAAAUAAUGUAUUUUCAGCUAUUUGAACCUGGUAUAUAAAACUGAAAGCAAAAAACGCAAAAAAAAAAAACUGGGAUGCAUAGAAAUAGCGCACAUAGAACAGAUCUACCGCUUCUUAGACUUGCUUUCAAUGAGAAUGUCCUAUUCCCCCCCAGGAGACUGAAAAGAUUUGGCAUGGUUCCUCAGAUCCUCAAAAGGUUCUACCGCUGCACCAGAGCAUCCUGACAGGUUGCAUCGUUGCCUGGUAUGGCAACUGCUCGGCCUCCGACUGCAAGCCACUACAGAGGGUAGUGCAUACAGCCCAGUACAUCACUAGGGCCAAGCUUCCUGCCAUCCAGGACCUCUAUACCAGGCGGUGUCAGAAGAAGGCCCUAAAAAUUGUUAGACUCCAGCCACCCUAGUCAUAGACUGUUCUCUCUGCUACCGCACGGCAAGCGUUACUGGAGCGCCAAGUCUAUGUCCAAAGGGCUUCUAAACAGCUUCUACC
Molecule: long non-coding RNA, 1752 nt
Organism: Salvelinus fontinalis (brook trout)
Lineage: Eukaryota; Metazoa; Chordata; Actinopteri; Salmoniformes; Salmonidae
Exons: 5
Source: RefSeq, a predicted model, not a curated record